AGGACGACAAGACCCUAUGAAGCUUUAUCUUAAUUGGAGCUCUCAGGCUCUUAUACGAUUUUGAUGGGAGAUCAGUAGAAAUAAGUCUUCUACUAUCAUAUUAAUCUUACUAGUAUUUCCUAACUUUAUAUGUGUGGCUAGCUACUCUAGGGAUAACAGCGCAAUUUCUCCCGAAAGAUGGUAUUGGAGGGGAAGAUUGCGACCUCGAUGUUG
RNAcentral lists this ribosomal RNA (213 nucleotides) under Mytilus galloprovincialis (Mediterranean mussel). RNAcentral describes it as "partial 16S ribosomal RNA". Lineage: Eukaryota; Metazoa; Mollusca; Bivalvia; Mytilida; Mytilidae. The record is from RNAcentral.